GGUCGCCGUAGUGGCGGUCGGACACGAAGCUCCUUGCUCGACUUUCGAAUUCCCCCCACUCUAGCCCUGAAUUCACCACCUCACCGAGUCCUGGCUGUUCCAUCCCUACGAUGGCGACGCCCAGCGUCGAUCCGUGCGCAUUUCCAUCCCCAACUCCGAGACUCAUCUUAUGGACGUCUGUGUGCUUGUCGAAAGGAGAUUGUUUUGCGAUAAACCAGUGUAUCAACGUAAAAUCCAUAAUGUGCUCAAAAUAUACUCGGCUAACGCAUCGAUAUGGAAAUUACCAGAAUUUCCUGUUCCUUUUACAAUAAGGAGCGACUUUGCUGUCGGCGUUUUUCUUUUCUCAGGAUUGGAGCAGGUAUCAUGGACCGUUGUAGAAUCGCAUAAAAUGGUGCUGAGGAGACGGAAGGGGGAAGACCAAGAGGAAGAAACACGAGGGGAGAAGAAUGGAGCUGGGGAACGACCAGGGGAAUGAGAGGGAAGGGAAAGGUGCCGGCUGGCAAGCAGAUGGUUGCCCCGUUUAUUGGUUUAUUCGUUGGUUCAGCCAUGACGUUCCGUCUAGCUAUGAAACAAGCCGGAGGUUCUCUCUCUGUGUUAGAGAGUAUCAAGUAACGAGACUACAACUACUCUUUCCAUUAAAAAUGCAUCCAAGAGCUACUUGUUCGCGCAGCAUUGGCAAGAAUAUAAAAGCAGAUUUGGUGGCGACGUGCGAACGUGCAGGAACAUAUAGAUGAAAUCCAGUAAUGGCGUCCUAGGGGCGGACGAAAUACUCGGGUCGAUAGAAGGAAGGCUACCUACGGAGCUCGAAUACUCUCUCAUCUUAUUGCCGACAAUCACCCCCACCAACAGUUCUUGAGCAGUUUAUCGUUAAAAAUCUAAUCGACAAUUCCCAGAUAAUUGUAUGCAAACGAUCUGCACGCUCGCGUCAUGACCAAGUAACCUGGAAAUGAAAGGUACGUCGACACACGUACAGGAAUAAAAGGAGCUGUACCGCUAAGAAGACGAAGAAGAAGAAGAAGAAAACCAAGGAGAACGCGACCUUGCUACAUUCAGCUGUGUCAUCCUCAAGCCGUUAACGCUCAGGUGGUUUCGAUCCCAGGGACGAGCAUCAAUCAUCAUCGGUAGUGCAGGUGUAAUGUGAUCAUUGUCACUGAGAUAACCCAGUACGAUAUUCAUUUAUGAAGUGUGUUAAGUGACAUAACAGAGUUUAUCUGUAACAGCGUAUCUAAAUACUUUGUGAAAGAAGCGACUUCAAUAUUAGUUCCUCGAUAACAUGCAAUUUGUUGGGGCAGAUCGUUGUCGGACCAAAGCCACAUUACGAAACAAUCGUUCAUUCAUAUUUAACGAAAAUGGAAAGGAUCUGUAGUAUCAAAGUAUAGUAACAGAGAAAUGCUAAUUUAAAACUUAAAGUUGCGCGUAUGCAAAUACAUAAAGUAAGGAAAAGUGAAAAAUAGCAAAUUUUUUCCGAUUUAUCGAAGAAGAUCUAAAAUAGAAUUGAAAUAUUUAACACGCUUGUUUAUAUAGUUAUGUAAUUAUUUAAUUUGCGUGUGAAUAUAAUGAAAUACGUUAAUACAAUGAAAUACGUAAAUAUGAUUUCUCUAUAAUUCUUUAUAAAGUUUUCCUUCUUGCAGGAAGCAACGUAAAUUGCGAUUAAAUGGCGAUGAAAAUUAUUAUCGCGCUUAUAUAGAAACGAAACACAAAAGUUCAACAAAAACAGAUCCUGCCCUGCUUUCUUGAGAAGUGACUCGGCAUACCUAAGCUAUUUCCGUAUGACCAUGCACUUCGUAAGCUCGCGAGCAUGCUAAUUUGAAAUUACAUUCUAUAGCUUCAACGAUAUUUAUUUCACGAAAGGCAAAUACAGCUAACACGCCAUAAAUUAUUAAAUAAAAGAUAAAAAUAUGUAAAUUUGCUUAAGUGAUUCUGUUAUCACCGAUAAAAUGUGUAAUGUAUUUCAAAUAGAAUUUAAUUUGAUAUAAUAAUGAAUGAUAUGCGUGAUAAUCGAUAAUGAGACCAAAUAAAGUUACAUCAACAUAUUUACGUUGUUUUAGAAUAUAGGAGAAAUUAGUAUUAAUAGAGGGAAAUAUUUUCAGAUUCCUAAAUGUGGUACCUGUGAGAAGUUUACCGAAGAUCACGUACUGGGCGGACAAAGAAGUUAAGACCGGCACGUAUAUAUGUGUGUAUGUGCAUACACAUGCACUCCAAGUACUUUUAAAUAGAUAAGAAAAUUAACGAUAAUCAAACUAUGUGCCGUAACAAGAAAGCCCAGUUAAUGCUCUACAUCUACCCUGUAGAUCCGAAUUUGUUUGAUAAGAGGCGACAAAUUCGGUUCUAGAGAGGUUUGUGUGGUGCAUACAGAGCAACGGUGAUCUUUGAAUAAGUGUAAUCAAAUACAUAUUACAUAUAAUGUAUACAGUAAAUGAUAUAUGCAUAUAUAACAUGUGAUAAUUUACAGCUAUAAAGUUAGAACGUAUAUAUAAAUCAGUUAAGACUUAACAAGACAAAAUAUAGACAUAAGAGACACACGUCUUAUACAAAUUCAAAUAUCGCACAAAUUUGUGUAAUUUGAAUUUUAUAUAUUAAGUAUUAGGUGCAUCUGCAAAAAUUUAGUAUUUAGUACUUAAUAUUUUGUAAUCGAAGUGUUUUCUUCACUCUUUUAUGGUUUUAAAUUGUUGUGAUUUGUGAGAAACAUACUCUCAUUAUUAUUUCGAAAAGAGAUGUAACAGAAAUUAACAUAAUCACAAGAAACAAAGGAGAACAUUUUUAAUUGAACUUAAAAAUUUAAUUUUUUUGCAUAAAAUUUAACUAUUAGAUUCAAAAUAAACGCGCGGAAAAAAUUUUUGUACAUAUAUUAUAUUAUAUAAUAAUAUACUAAGCGCAUCUGUAAUAUCCGCUUAUUAAAUCUAGAGUCACUGUUAAUCUUACUAACAUUAGUCACACGUAAAGCUAUCAUAGAUUAUGCCGCUUCCUCGAAUAAUCCAUAUUUAUGAGUCACGAAUAUACAAGGCAAGAUAUAUAAAAUUAAAAAUUUUCCAAUGACCCUAAAUCUCUAACAAAUGAAUAAGCAUUAUUGGUGCUUAGUGUACAAUUGGAAAUGUCGUUAGGACAUUUUUGAAUUCGAUUAUGCAUAUGAUAGAAGAGUUAUUAAUAGCAACAAAAAAAUUAUAAAUGUAAAAAAAAACUAAUGGACGUCAUUACGCCCAUGGACUUGGUUGCAUUGGUAUAUCGUCGAUGAUGAACUGCUACGUCUAGCGUGACCUGUUGCACAUAAGUUCACUCACACAUCGCAUUAAAUUGCACAUUCUCCUCGUAGUUUAUACAGGUUAAUUCAAAUUUUAUUUGCACAAUUGAAAGUACAGUAUAGAAUAAAACAUUUGUGAAACAUAUUAGACUCAAUUACUAAGUUUAAGUGCAUAUAGCUUGUUUUAUUAGAAAAAUAUUUCAUAUUAUCUCACAAAAUUCUCUUGAUGAUUUUUUUAACAAAUUUAACAUCAAAACGUUUAGUAAACUGAUAUCAAGUAUCUUCUAAGCAAAAUUAUUCGCACUUAUUAUUUACAUUUUUUGUUUAUUUAUUAUUUAUAUUUAUAUAUUUUAUAUUUUCUUUUUUAAAUUUUUUGUAUAACUUUGAGUCAAUGAUAUAAUUUAUAGAAUUAUUCAUAUAAUAUACACAACAAAUAUAUGAUAUGUAUGUAUGUGUGUGUGUGUGUGUGUGUGUAUUCCUACGGAAUUUUAUACAUGUAGAGUAAAAUCUAUGUGUGAUGAAUAAUUAUGUAAUAAUUUAUAUUUAAAUUAGUUUAUUAUUUUCAAAAACUUAUUUUUAAGGCAAAAAUAGUGUGAAUGUGUGCAUAUAAUUAUAUUAUUAUAUAAUUUCAACUAAUUUUGUAACUAUGUUACAUUCUCUGUGCUGAAUAUUUCUUAAACACUUGUGAAUAUUUCAAUUUGAAGAGAACGGUGUGUCUUGUUCAUAUUCCACUGUAUACUAUAUUUUUAAUAUCUUAGUUUUUUAUUACGAGCCUUCAUUAAAUGUACGUCUGUUACUAGCGAAUAUGUGAUUUCUUGAAUCUUUCUGUAACGACUGAAGCAAAUCCAUUAAUCUCUGAUCGUGUUCAUAUUAAAAUGACAUACCAGCCGUUACGCAACCACUCAUAAGUGCUAAUGAAGUGCAUACACAAGUGUAAUUACCAAUCGAGUGGACUGCCCACUUUUCACUCGUAAUAUAAUCUAGUGAAUAAAAAAGAGUUGUUUCAUAAUGACAUGGCGGGGAAAAACGCAGCCGUCUCACGUAGAUCGGCGAUUACCAGCUGAUGGGUUCGCUGGAAGUUAACAUUAGAAUUUCUGUAAGCGUCCGUCAUAGCAUGUACUUAACUCCGUAUAAUUUUUAACAAUAGGAAUUUAUGUAGACGUAUCUUUAUAUCUUAUGGAUUACAUCUUGAAGAAACAAACUGUAGAAAAUAGAUUAAAAAUGUAUAAAACGCGCAGGACAUAUACACAGUAUUGAUGACGAA
This is a long non-coding RNA of Odontomachus brunneus, 4502 nucleotides long. RefSeq lists it as uncharacterized. The transcript is spliced from 5 exons. The record is from RefSeq and is a predicted model, not a curated record. NCBI's taxonomy places the organism in Eukaryota, Metazoa, Arthropoda, Insecta, Hymenoptera, Formicidae.